AUUGAACGCUGGCGGCAGGCCUAACACAUGCAAGUCGAGCGGAGCGGCGGACGGGCGAGUAAUGCCUAGGAAUCUGCCUGGUAGCGGGGGAUAACGUCCGGAAACGGGCGCUAAUACCGUAUACUAUCAGAUGAGCCUAGGUCGGAUUAGCUAGUUGGUGGGGUAAAGGCCUACAAAGGCGACGAUCCGGAACUGGUCUGAGAGGAUGAUCAGUAACACUGGAACUGAGACACGGUCCAGACUCCUACGGGAGGCAGCAGUGGGGAAUAUUGCACAAUGGGCGCAAGCCUGAUGAGGCCAUGCCGCGUGGAUGAAGAAGGCCUUCGGGUUGUAAAGUACUUUCAGCGGGGAGGCGUUACCCGCAGAAGAAGCACCGGCUAACUCCGUGCCAGCAGCCGCGGUAAUUC
RNAcentral lists this ribosomal RNA (407 nucleotides) under uncultured bacterium. RNAcentral's name for it is "partial 16S ribosomal RNA". It matches the Rfam family "Bacterial small subunit ribosomal RNA", at positions 30 to 526 of the family's 1533-position model. The record is from RNAcentral.